Molecule: ribosomal RNA, 1385 nt
Filed under: Escherichia coli
Lineage: Bacteria; Pseudomonadati; Pseudomonadota; Gammaproteobacteria; Enterobacterales; Enterobacteriaceae
Description: partial 23S ribosomal RNA
Rfam family: Bacterial large subunit ribosomal RNA
Source: RNAcentral
GAAGACCAAGGGUUCCUGUCCAACGUUAAUCGGGGCAGGGUGAGUCGACCCCUAAGGCGAGGCCGAAAGGCGUAGUCGAUGGGAAACAGGUUAAUAUUCCUGUACUUGGUGUUACUGCGAAGGGGGGACGGAGAAGGCUAUGUUGGCCGGGCGACGGUUGUCCCGGUUUAAGCGUGUAGGCUGGUUUUCCAGGCAAAUCCGGAAAAUCAAGGCUGAGGCGUGAUGACGAGGCACUACGGUGCUGAAGCAACAAAUGCCCUGCUUCCAGGAAAAGCCUCUAAGCAUCAGGUAACAUCAAAUCGUACCCCAAACCGACACAGGUGGUCAGGUAGAGAAUACCAAGGCGCUUGAGAGAACUCGGGUGAAGGAACUAGGCAAAAUGGUGCCGUAACUUCGGGAGAAGGCACGCUGAUAUGUAGGUGAAGUCCCUCGCGGAUGGAGCUGAAAUCAGUCGAAGAUACCAGCUGGCUGCAACUGUUUAUUAAAAACACAGCACUGUGCAAACACGAAAGUGGACGUAUACGGUGUGACGCCUGCCCGGUGCCGGAAGGUUAAUUGAUGGGGUCAGCGCAAGCGAAGCUCUUGAUCGAAGCCCCGGUAAACGGCGGCCGUAACUAUAACGGUCCUAAGGUAGCGAAAUUCCUUGUCGGGUAAGUUCCGACCUGCACGAAUGGCGUAAUGAUGGCCAGGCUGUCUCCACCCGAGACUCAGUGAAAUUGAACUCGCUGUGAAGAUGCAGUGUACCCGCGGCAAGACGGAAAGACCCCGUGAACCUUUACUAUAGCUUGACACUGAACAUUGAGCCUUGAUGUGUAGGAUAGGUGGGAGGCUUAGAAGUGUGGACGCCAGUCUGCAUGGAGCCGACCUUGAAAUACCACCCUUUAAUGUUUGAUGUUCUAACGUUGACCCGUAAUCCGGGUUGCGGACAGUGUCUGGUGGGUAGUUUGACUGGGGCGGUCUCCUCCUAAAGAGUAACGGAGGAGCACGAAGGUUGGCUAAUCCUGGUCGGACAUCAGGAGGUUAGUGCAAUGGCAUAAGCCAGCUUGACUGCGAGCGUGACGGCGCGAGCAGGUGCGAAAGCAGGUCAUAGUGAUCCGGUGGUUCUGAAUGGAAGGGCCAUCGCUCAACGGAUAAAAGGUACUCCGGGGAUAACAGGCUGAUACCGCCCAAGAGUUCAUAUCGACGGCGGUGUUUGGCACCUCGAUGUCGGCUCAUCACAUCCUGGGGCUGAAGUAGGUCCCAAGGGUAUGGCUGUUCGCCAUUUAAAGUGGUACGCGAGCUGGGUUUAGAACGUCGUGAGACAGUUCGGUCCCUAUCUGCCGUGGGCGCUGGAGAACUGAGGGGGGCUGCUCCUAGUACGAGAGGACCGGAGUGGACGCAUCACU